GCCGGGCAUGGUGGCGCAUGCCUACUGUAAUCCCAGCAACUCGGAAGGCUGGGGCAGGAGGAUCACAAGUUCGAGGCCAGCCUCAGCAACUUGGUGAGCCCCCGUCUCCC
This 110-nucleotide small RNA is filed under the name Marmota monax (woodchuck). The record is from RNAcentral. Lineage: Eukaryota; Metazoa; Chordata; Mammalia; Rodentia; Sciuridae.